Molecule: long non-coding RNA, 715 nt
Filed under: Homo sapiens (human)
Lineage: Eukaryota; Metazoa; Chordata; Mammalia; Primates; Hominidae
Description: novel transcript
Source: RNAcentral
CAAUGGCAAUUCCUGGAGGCACCAGGAGUUAUGAGCAGUCAACACUCUUUCUUUGCUCCUGAGAAAAUUGAGUGCCCUCUUUGGUCCUGAAAGCAGCUCUGGGCAGCACUCCACAGCAUCCACUACAGACUUAGUGAGUUCACCCUGGCUCUCCCACUUACAGAUUGCAGCUUUCAGUUGCGACCUUAGGAAUGAGCUCACAAUUGGAAGCAAAUCUGUCUUCUGUUUCUACUGUUAAAGAAUUACCUACCCACUGACAAAAACACAUAGGAUUAACAAUGGCUUUGUCCCAGAUAGAUGCUUUUUGGAAUUGUACAAACUGUAUUUAUGAUGCUUGUACAUUUUGGUCCAACUUUUAAAUAUUUCAAUAAGACUGAUUGAAUUCUUAGUAAAUAGAAUACUUCCUCUGUUCAGUUUUGCUCUGUUGAAUGCUGGAAGUUUGGUGAGUCUGACCCACUACACGUAUCUCAGAUGAUUUAAAAACAAAGGCAGGCCAUUUGGUUUUGAUGCUGUGUCUGUUUUGGGCAGUGUCUCAGAUUGAAAUCCUGUGAAUAAAAAGUGGUUCUGAAAAGUUAUUCUUAGCCACUUAGGUAUAGGCUCUUAGUCUUGAGAAAUGGGUAAGGCUUCUGAAUGUCUGAUUUAGUCAUACAAAUCAUCAUUUGGCAUAUCUCUUUUGUGGAUUUUUAUUGGUAUUGAUUCAAAAACAUUUUCAAAA